Molecule: ribosomal RNA, 254 nt
Filed under: uncultured bacterium
Lineage: Bacteria
Description: partial 16S ribosomal RNA
Rfam family: Bacterial small subunit ribosomal RNA
Source: RNAcentral
UACAGGGGGUGGCAAACGUUGCUCGGAAUCAUUGGGCGUAAAGCGCACGUAGGCGGUUCGUUAUGUCGGAUGUGAAAGCCCUUGGCUUAACCGAGGAAGUGCAUCCGAAACUGGCGAGCUAGAGUACGAAAGAGGAUCGCGGAAUUCCCGGUGUAGAGGUGAAAUUCGUAGAUAUCGGGAGGAACACCGGUGGCGAAGGCGGCGAUCUGGGUCGAUACUGACGCUGAGGUGCGAAAGCGUGGGGAGCAAACAGG